RNAcentral lists this ribosomal RNA (471 nucleotides) under uncultured bacterium. RNAcentral's name for it is "bacterial SSU rRNA". It matches the Rfam family "Bacterial small subunit ribosomal RNA", at positions 329 to 792 of the family's 1533-position model. The record is from RNAcentral.
GUCCAGACUCCUACGGGAGGCAGCAGUGGGGAAGAUUGCACAAGGGGCGCAAGCCUGAUGCAGCCAUGCCGCGUGUAUGAAGAAGGCCUUCGGGUUGUAAAGUACCAUCAGCGGGGAGGAAGGCGAGAAGGCGAAUAACCUUGUCGAUUGACGUUACCCGCAGAAGAAGCACCGGCUAACUCCGUGCCAGCAGCCGCGGUAAUACGGAGGGGGCAAGCGUUAAUCGGAAUUACUGGGCGUAAAGCGCACGCAGGCGGUCUGUCAAGUCGGAUGUGAAAUCCCCGGGCUCAACCUGGGAACUGCAUUCGAAACUGGCAGGCUGUAGUCUUGUAGAGGGGGGUAGAAUUCCAGGUGUAGCGGUGAAAUGCGUAGAGAUCUGGAGGAAUACCGGUGGCGCAGGCGGCCCCCUGGGCAAAGACUGACGCUCAGGUGUGAAAGCGUGGGGAGCAAACAGGAUUAGAUACCCUGGUA